RNAcentral lists this ribosomal RNA (478 nucleotides) under uncultured Bacteroidota bacterium. RNAcentral's name for it is "bacterial SSU rRNA". It matches the Rfam family "Bacterial small subunit ribosomal RNA", at positions 355 to 829 of the family's 1533-position model. Lineage: Bacteria; Pseudomonadati; Bacteroidota. The record is from RNAcentral.
UAAGGAAUAUUGGUCAAUGGACGCAAGUCUGAACCAGCCAUGCCGCGUGGAGGAUGAAGGUCCUCUGGAUUGUAAACUUCUUUUAUCUGGGACGAAAAAGGGUCUUUCUAGAUCAACUGACGGUACCAGAUGAAUAAGCACCGGCUAACUCCGUGCCAGCAGCCGCGGUAAUACGGAGGGUGCAAGCGUUAUCCGGAUUCACUGGGUUUAAAGGGUGCGUAGGUGGGUUGGUAAGUCAGUGGUGAAAUCCCCGAGCUUAACUUGGGAACUGCCAUUGAUACUAUCAGUCUUGAAUAUUGUGGAGGUUAGCGGAAUAUGUCAUGUAGCGGUGAAAUGCUUAGAUAUGACAUAGAACACCAAUUGCGAAGGCAGCUGGCUACGCAUAUAUUGACACUGAGGCACGAAAGCGUGGGGAUCGAAACAGGAUUAGAUACCCUGGUAGUCCACGCCCUAAACUAUGGAUACUCGACAUCAGCGA